Molecule: ribosomal RNA, 486 nt
Filed under: uncultured bacterium
Lineage: Bacteria
Description: bacterial SSU rRNA
Rfam family: Bacterial small subunit ribosomal RNA
Source: RNAcentral
AACGCUAGCUACAGGCUUAACACAUGCAAGUCGAGGGUAGCAGGUAGCAAUACCGCUGACGACCGGCGCACGGGUGAGUAACACGUAUCCAACCUUCCCAUAACUCAGGGAUAGCCUUUCGAAAGAAAGAUUAAUACCUGAUAGUACUUUUUCAAGGCAUCUUGAGAAAGUUAAAGAUUUAUUGGUUAUGGAUGGGGAUGCGUUCCAUUAGAUAGUUGGUGAGGUAACGGCUCACCAAGUCUUCGAUGGAUAGGGGUUCUGAGAGGAAGGUCCCCACAUUGGUACUGAGACACGGACCAAACUCCUACGGGAGGCAGCAGUGAGGAAUAUUGGUCAAUGGGCGAGAGCCUGAACCAGCCAAGUAGCGUGAAGGAUGAAGGUCCUAUGGAUUGUAAACUUCUUUUAUAGUAGAAUAAAGUGAUCUACGUGUGGAUUUUUGUAUGUAUACUAUGAAUAAGGAUCGGCUAACUCCGUGCCAGCAGCCGC